Molecule: non-coding RNA, 231 nt
Organism: Ailuropoda melanoleuca (giant panda)
Lineage: Eukaryota; Metazoa; Chordata; Mammalia; Carnivora; Ursidae
Source: RefSeq, a predicted model, not a curated record
AUGAUGGGGGUCAAGACCUCCUACUCCAUCUCCAUUUCCGGUGACAGGACAGGCUGUCAGAACACAGUCCUUGACACCCAGGCAGACUCUGAGACUGUGAGCAUGAGGAAGCUGGCUAAAGACAUGGACGAGCUGGCACUCGAGGGGGCAGAAAGACAGGCAGAGGCAGGCACCCCAGACAGGGAAGCUAGCAAGCAGUCUGAGAGCAACAAUGGCACCCCCUCAUCUUGA